UCAUUUGUAACACUUCGCAAACAAACACAUGGCCUCCGAUUUACUCUCAGUUCCCUCUCCACUCACUCUUAUUGCUUCUACAAGAUCCUCAAUCAUGGAGUCAACUCUCCGCCGCCGAUUCACCGCAAGUUUCAUCUCAGCCCUAAACACCAAUGCAUCGGCGCACAAUGUCGGAUUCAGAAACUUCGCCGCCGGAAGAGAGAGAGCGGAAUUGAGGGAUCUGAUGGCAGCGGCGCGGUAACUCGCGAUGUAAAGGGCUCGGGCCCGAAGAAUGUGGACGAAAGGAUCCUUGGGGGUGAUAGAGAGGGCUUGAUUUGCUUCUGAGAGAGCGUUUUUGGUAUCAAUGGAGAUGAUGAAAAUGAUGAUGAAUUAUUUCAAGAUGACAAUGAAGGCAAUGAAUUUGAAGAGGACGACAUAGAUGAUAAGUUUGAAGAUGACGGUGUAGAUGAUAAAUAUGAAGAAGACACACUUGAAUGCUUUAGAUGAUGAUUUUAGAUUAUGGUUUCUUGAAUGAUUUAGAUGAUGAUUUAGAUUAUGAUUUCUUGAAUGAUGUUUUUUUUAUUAGGCAUGUACUUGAUUGAAGCAUCAAAACUUCAACAAACUAUAUAUUUUGCUAGACUUGUAUUAAGUAUCAAACUUUAUUAAAUUAUGUUAGACAAUUUGUUUACAACCA
Molecule: long non-coding RNA, 673 nt
Organism: Cicer arietinum (chickpea)
Lineage: Eukaryota; Viridiplantae; Streptophyta; Magnoliopsida; Fabales; Fabaceae
Source: RefSeq, a predicted model, not a curated record